This 1814-nucleotide long non-coding RNA is filed under the name Olea europaea subsp. europaea. The record is from RNAcentral. Lineage: Eukaryota; Viridiplantae; Streptophyta; Magnoliopsida; Lamiales; Oleaceae.
GUCCCGAAAGAUACAGGAUACAUCUUGCAAAUAAUAAAAGUAAGGGUAAAAUAAUAUUUCUAAUAGAAGAGGCCAUUGUGGAAAAUAGGAUCAAUACCCCGGUCAUUUAGAAGACUGCCCCGGUUUUGACAUCAGUUGUUAGAGGAAAGAGAAUAUUUCUAUUUACAUAUAUACAUCUGACAGAGAAAAGCAGCUUGUCUUUUGGGGAGAAAUUGAUAUUUUGUUACGCAGCUCUCCUCCAUUUUCUUCUCCUGAUCUUCUUUCUUUUUCUUUAUAUUUCCAUCAAAUUCUUGUAAUUUCCCUUAGCAUCAUCAGUUGUAAUUUCAAUUUGAAUAUAAUCAUUAACUUUUCAGCUGCUGGUUUUGAUUGAGUUUUAAGUCAUUAAGCUUCAAUCAUUACAAUUGGUAUCAAAGCAUAAGCUCUUAUGCAAGAUGGAAACUAGACAGAAAGCUACUGAGGAACAUUUUAAAAAGCUGGACAAGGAGAUUGAAGACUUGGGUACUGCUUUUACUUCUAUAUCUAUGAAGACGAAAUCAUCUGAUCAAUCUUUGAGGGCGCUAUGCAACAGACAAGAAAGGUGGAAGGUAUAUUGAACGAACUAAACUCUAAAUAUGAAUCCCUAGUAGCUAUGAUGGCCCAACUAAGUGUAGGAAGAAUGGAUUCCAACAACAAGUAGAAGGAAGGUACAAUUAGCAUAGAAGGAACUGCAAGUGGAGACUCAGUACCAAGGAUUGGGAACUAUGUGAGAGAGUCCUUUCCAAGGGGAUUUUAAAAUGAGUUCCAAAAUGCCCAAAAUUGACUUUCCUCAGUUUGGUGGGGAAGGACCCAGAUAAUGGCUGAGAAAAGCUAGAAAGUUCUUUCAGCUUUAUCAAAUUCCUGAAAAUUUGAAAGUAGGAAUUGCUGAGAUGUAUCUCAAGGGCAAAGCUAAUAUAUGGUUUCAUGGAUUUAUAACCAGUCAUCCAGAGGCAGAUUGGAGCUUGUUUUCUACAGAGAUAUGUAGGAUGUUUUCUGAGAACACAGCUAAAGAGGUGGUAGAAACCUUCAGCAAGAUUAAACAACAUGGGUCUGUGGCUGAAUAUCAAGAGAGAUUUGAAGAUCUCAAAUCCCAAGUAUUGCUUUCCCUCAUUUACCCGAUUCCUAUUAUAUUUCCAUUUUCACCAGUGGAUUGAAAGAGCAGAUCAAAUCCAUGGUUAAGAUCAUCAAACCUACAUCUAUAACACAAGCCUUUGAAAUAGCCUCUUUACAGGAAACCACCAUUGCAGCCCUCAACAAAGUACAAAAGCCAUCUAAACCAAAUAACCCAACCAACUGGAACUCGCAGUCUCUUAAAAAAAUAGACACUAGCCAAAAAAAUAUCCCUCACACAGACUCCACCCUUAAGAGCCAAAAGUACCCAAAUUUAAACCUUGGCGACAAGGUUUAGAUAAGCAGGGGGGUUGUCAAGGAAAGAAGAUGACGGUUGAAUGGAAUUGGGGUCUAAGAAGAAGGAUAAGCAAUAAAAAUUUGAAAAAAAGAUUAAUGGACAGGACCAGCCUUCUAAUGGGCCUCUUUUGUUUGGCCUAGUAAAGGAAACGAGUCAGAGGCUUUGGCAUCAGUUGUUAGAGGAGAGAGAAUAUAUCCAUAUACGUAUAUACAUCUAACACGAGAAAAGCAACUUGUCUUUUGGGGAGAAAUUGAUAUUCUGUUAUGCAGCUCUCCUCCAUUUUCUUCUCCUGAUCUUUUUUCUUUUUCUUUAUCUUUCCAUCAUCUUCUUGUAAUUUCUCUCAGCAUCAUGAGUUGUAAUUCCAAUUUGAAUAUGAUCUUUAACUUUUCAG